UGGAGCUGCAAUCAUCUU
RNAcentral lists this small nuclear RNA (18 nucleotides) under Arabidopsis thaliana (thale cress). Its description in RNAcentral is "snRNA_18338". Lineage: Eukaryota; Viridiplantae; Streptophyta; Magnoliopsida; Brassicales; Brassicaceae. The record is from RNAcentral.